This is a non-coding RNA of Pseudomonas sp. Bc-h, 70 nucleotides long. Lineage: Bacteria; Pseudomonadati; Pseudomonadota; Gammaproteobacteria; Pseudomonadales; Pseudomonadaceae. The record is from Rfam.
GUCACAGGUGGUGCGGCACGCUUAGACGAGCAGCACCGAAUGCGCAGUACCUAACGAAGACGGUAAUAAG